GACGAACGCUGGCGGCGUGCUUAACACAUGCAAGUCGAACGGAAAGGCCCUGCUUUUGUGGGUUGCUCGAGUGGCGAACGGGUGAGUAACACGUGAGUAACCUGCCCUUGACUUUGUGAUAACUUCAGGAAACUGGGGCUAAUACCGGAUAGGAGCUCCUGCUGCAUGGGGGGGGUUGGUAAGUUUCGGCGGUUGGGGAUGGACUCGCGGCUUAUCAGCUUGUUUGUGGGGUAGUGGCUUACCAAGGCUUUGACGGGUAGCCGGCAUGAGAGGGUGAACGGCCACAUUGGGACUGAGAUACGGCCCAGACUCCUACGGGAGGCAGCAGUGGGGAAUAUUGCACAAUGGGCGGAAGCCUGAUGCAGCAACGCCGCGUGCGGGAUGACGGCCUUCGGGUUGUAAACCGCUUUCGACUGUGACGAAGCGUGAGUGACGGUAAUGGGUAAAGAAGCACCGGCUAACUACGUG
Molecule: ribosomal RNA, 468 nt
Filed under: uncultured bacterium
Lineage: Bacteria
Description: partial 16S ribosomal RNA
Rfam family: Bacterial small subunit ribosomal RNA
Source: RNAcentral